Molecule: long non-coding RNA, 259 nt
Organism: Xenia sp. Carnegie-2017
Lineage: Eukaryota; Metazoa; Cnidaria; Anthozoa; Malacalcyonacea; Xeniidae
Exons: 2
Source: RefSeq, a predicted model, not a curated record
AUUUUUGAUUUCAUUAACAUAGUCUGGAAAAAUGACAAGUGGUUAGAUGUGUAAGUCAAGAGUACCAAUGCAUACAUGCUAAACUUACAAUAUGAUGGUGCUGAAGAAACAGUUCUUACUACUUCAUCCCCUGAUAUAAAUUUUGGGAACAAGUAAAAAAGGCUUGGCAGAUAGAGAACAGUGAUUACAAGUUACCUGCAAUAUGUACCAAGCCAAGAAAAGUGGGUCAUCUUUGGAUGCCAACCAUUUAAUGUUGAAU